UACGUAGGGGGCUAGCGUUGUCCGGAAUCAUUGGGCGUAAAGAGCGUGUAGGCGGCCCGGUAAGUCCGCUGUGAAAGUCGGGGGCUCAACCCUCGAAUGCCGGUGGAUACUGUCGGGCUAGAGUGCGGAAGAGGCGAGUGGAAUUCCUGGGUGUAGCGGUGAAAUGCGCAGAUAUCAGGAGGAACACCGAUUGCGAAGGCAGCUCGCUGGGACGUUACUGACGCUGAGACGCGAAAGCGUGGGGAGCAAACAGG
RNAcentral lists this ribosomal RNA (254 nucleotides) under uncultured bacterium. RNAcentral describes it as "partial 16S ribosomal RNA". It matches the Rfam family "Bacterial small subunit ribosomal RNA", at positions 524 to 776 of the family's 1533-position model. The record is from RNAcentral.